GGCCUUAGCGCGGUGGUCCCACCUGACCCCAUGCCGAACUCAGAAGUGAAACGCCGUAGCGCCGAUGGUAGUGUGGGGUCUCCCCAUGCGAGAGUAGGGAACUGCCAGGCA
RNAcentral lists this ribosomal RNA (111 nucleotides) under Escherichia coli. RNAcentral also lists the same sequence under 2 other names. The record is from RNAcentral. Lineage: Bacteria; Pseudomonadati; Pseudomonadota; Gammaproteobacteria; Enterobacterales; Enterobacteriaceae.